AUGUAGUGUGACAUGCCCGUUUGGGAUUUACUCUGAUGAAUAUUUAAUUAUUAUUUAAUUGCUUUUGGGUAACGGGGUGUUACACUUUG
This is a microRNA precursor of Medicago truncatula (barrel medic), 89 nucleotides long. It matches the Rfam family "MIR2617 microRNA precursor family". The record is from Rfam. NCBI's taxonomy places the organism in Eukaryota, Viridiplantae, Streptophyta, Magnoliopsida, Fabales, Fabaceae.